UCCUCCUGAAAGUUGGAUUACCGUGCACUUCUGGAUCACAGGCUAUUCGCAGCUGGACACAUCCUUCUACACUGUAUGCAAACAUGCAACAUCAUUACACACAGUACAAGGCAUAUGAGGAGCAAAGGAACCCAGGCAGUAGCAUCGUUUCACAAUGUUUCAAUCACCAUCAUCAGUGGAUGCCUUUGCCGUCCGUAGCCUGAGAUUUCAGAUUUGCAGCAAAAAAUGUGACUUUCCCAUUUAUUGGAAUGCUGUGCAGGUUGUACCUUGCAGCCAUCCAUUACAAUGUCACCAAGCCAUAACAAAAGCAGGAGAGGGAAAGUACAAGGCUAUGUUCCCAAAACACACAAGUGACAUACUGUAAGCAGUAAUGUUUUAUUUCAAAUACAUUCAUAAUUAAAAACUUAAUGUAUGAAGCAGGGAAAUAAAUUAUCAAAACAAAAAGA
This is a non-coding RNA of Misgurnus anguillicaudatus (oriental weatherfish), 446 nucleotides long. The record is from RefSeq and is a predicted model, not a curated record. NCBI's taxonomy places the organism in Eukaryota, Metazoa, Chordata, Actinopteri, Cypriniformes, Cobitidae.